UCGUUCAUGACGUCAUCAUCUCUUCACUUACACAAAGACAGCAGAUCUUUCUUAUCCCGCCAGAAAACCAAGAUUUUGGCUGUCCUGUCAAACCUUUAGAAAGAAAAACGAGCAAGACCCAACCACUGUGACCUGCUGUUGAUCAGGAACUUCAGGUGAGAAAUUGGGUCUGGAGGAUUAGAUUUCAUCGUGAACAAUGUAGAGGCGCCUCAGCUAUUUCUUUCUGUGAAUUGUUUUGCAGCUGAGAUCCUGUCUACUAGAGCACAGAAAAAUCAAGCAAGCUCUCUGAGCCUACAGCGGAUGCCCUUUGAACACUGAGAGACACACACAAACCCGUGGCACGUUCCUCAUGCAACAGCUCCCUCCAAUUUCAGAAGAGUCGAUGCUAGGAAGCACCUUGUAAGUGUCAGUGAAUGAGCAGCUCUGCCCUCAGUAGAUUUUUGUCUUAUCCUGUCCUGCUGGUUUUCCUAAAAAUUUACAUCGGCUUCAAAUAAUAUCUAUUUUG
This 505-nucleotide long non-coding RNA is filed under the name Homo sapiens (human). RNAcentral's name for it is "HSALNT0324766". The record is from RNAcentral. Lineage: Eukaryota; Metazoa; Chordata; Mammalia; Primates; Hominidae.